CAAGACUAAGUGCAAGAAUGUAAUCACUCGGUGUCCUCGUCAUCAUCAUCAUCUCCUGCACCAGCUCCAGAUCCUCCAGCAUCCGAAGCUCCAGUGGAUGGCGGAAUAAGAGGAUGUCGUGAAGUAGUCCUAGUAUAGACAGGCUGAGGAGGAAAAAUAUCGUCAUGUCUACAUCCCAACUUGUCCAUCAUCCUCUUCAUGCCUAACUCCACUUUUCUGGCAAGAUUAGCUACUUUCUUCUUCAACGACCGCACUUCUUGGCGAAGAGAUUCUCCCCCUGAACUGGAAGACCCCUCACGCUCUGCUCGAGGUGGAGGUGCCUGGCGUGAAGUUGGUUGCGACGGUCCCUUUGUCUGCUGAAAAGUUUUUAGUGUACUAACUGACUUGGCCCAAGUAACAGCAUCAAUAGGACCAAGGCCAAAAUCAUACUUGUCGCAAGAAACAUCUAUUCCAUUUUCCUGUAAAAUCCUCGUGAUCAAAAGAGGAAAUGGAAGGAGAUCCCGUCUAGCAGACGCCUGAAUCACAUGAACCAUCCGCUGCCACAUCAGAAAAGGAAUGUUGAUGUUCAAUCCAUGAGCUUGCCCCGGGUGACCAAGUAAAAACAGUAGAAGCAAUCGAUCCCAACGAAUCCUUUUGGUACCAAUCGUAGGUUGAACAUUGUAGCUCAAAACCAAGGAAAGUAGAUGAUACUCCGGUCGCAAAUCCUUGGACUCUACAUAGGCACGAUUCGUUUGCACUCCAGCUCUGCAAAUAGCUCCGACAACAGUAUCCCAAUGAGACAAGGAGUGAAAUCCUCCUGAUGUAUAAAGAAGACCCGUAGUGUCUACAUUCAUCCCCAAAAGCUCUCCAAUAGUAUAUGGGGUAACGGCGAUCUUCUGUUGACGCACGAAUGUCUCAAAUAGGAAUGUCCCGGUCUCUUCAUCUUCUGCUAGGACUCGCCCAUUCAUAUAGAACUCUCGAAUGAGUUCCACACAAAAAGGAGCACGAGCAGGGACUCUGCCAACCGGCUCAAUGGGAACCCGCUGAAGUAACCGGCCAAAGUCAGGAACGUCAUGAAUAAGAUCGGUGAAGUUGACAUAACGCUCCGCAAUGCAAGACUUGCUCAUGUACAUCCUCCGUCGCUCUGGAGGAAUAUCUGCAGCGUGCUUCGACCGAGUUUCUCUUGUACGAGAACCACCGCCACGUGAGGACUCGCCAGCUAUUCCUUUGCCCUUGUCAAGCUGAGCAAUAGGUUCUUCUGCCUCCUCAGGGGAGCUUUCUUGAUAAUCCGGAUCCGAGCCGGACGCUUCUCCCGAUGUUCGUGUUCUCUUAGAGGACCCACGUCGACCUCUACCACUACCUCGUCCACGUCUCGUAGCCAUCAGCACCAAAAUCAGCAAAAUGAAUGAAAAGGAUAUAAAUUUUCUACACCUUUCUCAAUGUAGGAUUUUCCUCACACUUUUGAUGGUGGUGUACAUCCUUUCUCGAUGGUGGGGCCAGCAGGCCGUUCACACACUUCGAUGGUGUACCAUAAAUUAACUUUUUCGGCCUUUUCCAACUUUUUUUUAUAUAAUCUUUAAAGCCUCAAUAUUCCACCAUUCAAUUUUUCUACGAGUUUCUCGGUGGGGGCCAUAAUAUAACCAAUUUAGAGAUAUAACUUGUACAAUGUUGCUUAACCACAGUUAAAAUAACUUAAAGAUAUUUAAUAAAAAGUAGUGAAUGUAGAACUACCAAAACCUAAUAAUUUAGUACAAACUAUUACUUUAAAACUACAAAACUACUUAAAACUUUAAAAUAUUAUAUAAUAAAAGUAAUAUUACUAAAAACCUCAAUUUAGAAAUUAAAUAUACUUUAAUUAAAUUAAACGACCUAAAAAUUUCAGAUUAAAAGUUUUAGACUCUAGCACAUGGCCAUGUGCUAUGGCAUGGCCAUGCCCAUGACAUCGGCGCCUAUAUAUAGGCCAAUGUCUCGAAAACAAGAAAGAGUUUAGACUUAGUUUGAAGCAAAAGAGAGAGAGAUUUUUAGGGACCACGGAAGGAGAACGUCUAGAUGUCCAAAAGGGAGUUUUUAAACACUCAUAAAUCGAGCCUAAAUUGGCAAAGUAGCGCAAGUACAAAUAAAAAGCUUUUUAAAGCUCAAGUACGAAUCUAGAGACAAAAACUAGCAAAAACUACGUUAAAAAACGACAUCUAGUCACGAAUUCCUGUAAUAGAACGAAGAUCUUAUGAACUUAGUGUAGUUUAGUGUAAUAAAAAGCGACUAGGUACAAGAUUCGAAGUAAAAAGUACAUUAAAGCCCUAAAAAACAUUUUACAGUAAAAAAUUACUUUUAAAAACGUACUAGACCAAUCUUUUUCCUAAACAUACGUAAGAUUACAAUAAUCUUUAAAAAAGCGAUAAAAAUGUCUAAAAAGUUUUAAAAACAAGUACGUGCCGAUUAAAAACAUAUCCUUUUAACCGCANAUAUCCAACACUCACAACCAAGAUGAUUUAAUCAUCAAAAAAUCAAAUUUGAUUUCAAAAUUUUGAUGAAUUUAUGCAAUAAGAAAUCAUAUAAUAAAUUAUCAUCAAAAUAACAAAUAGUGGAAUAAAGACGAUAAUUAAUAUGAAUUUAACUUAAUAUGAUUGUGAAGAUAAAACCCGUUUAAACAAUUUUAAAAAAACUUUCUCUCCAAAAAAAAACGAUUCUCAAUCAUCUCCUUUCUCAAAGAUUUUGAAACUCCCAAACAUCUCUUCCUCAAAAUGAUUUUUUAAAUAAACAAAAAUUCAAUGCACCAAAAAUCAUUCAACCAUGUAAUGCAAUGAAUAAAAUAUGUAAUAAGCACCUAUCAAAGCAUUACAUUAACGAUCAAAAAAUGACUAAGAGAAGGAGCGAGGAAAGAUAUCACCUUUCCGGAUCCAAACUUGUCGGAUCUUUGGUUUUCUCGGUUUGUCGACGUUUGAUGCCGUUUUCUUAGAUUUUUGAUCAAUCGUUGGUGUUUUCUUCGCUUGAGGCUUAGGUAGAACUUGGCGUUUAGGCUUAGGAAUCCGAUUCUCUUGAGGUCCUCGACUAAUUGGAUUUUCCUUUUGAUUCCUCGGGGGAAGUCGAGUUGUAGACGAUGUCAAUUGAGGUUUUGAGAGUGUCGAUCGAUGUGUAGACAUUGCCAAUUGUUUCUUCUUAUCUUUCACGGGGCAAUUCCUUUUGAUGUGACCGUUAACUCCACAUCGAUGACACACUUUGCCUUUUAAAGUUGUUGAGACUUUAGAUGUUGCCGUUUGAUCCUCAACAUAUGUCCGUUCAUAUCCAAGGCCUAGCUUGUUCGUUUGACCCAAUCCGAGCAUAUGGUCCAAUUUCUCUGAUCCGGAAGAAAAACGUUGAAUGUCGGAUUGAAGUUGACGAACUUGAUCGGUCAAAGACUUGUUGGAUGUGUUUGAUUCCUCGAAUUGUUGCUCCAAAAAUCCAACCUUGUCUUUAUAUGAUUUGAUCGUUGAUUCCGCUUCAUUAAGCUUCCCAAGGAGGUCCGAAUUCGUUUUCAAAAUUGAUUCCCUUUCCUCCUCGAGAGCUUUGUUCGUGGCUUUCAAGUUGUUGUUAUCCUCUUCAAGAUUCAACAUACGACGCCUCAACUUCUUAUUUAAUUUAGCCAUCUUCUUUGAUUCAAUAAGAAGUAGGUUGUAAGCUUCCGCUAUAUCUUCGUCGUUCGAAUCCUCCCCGCUUUCGCCGUUGUCGCUCGAUGAAUCAUGCGAGGAAAGAGAUACAUUAGAAUUAGUAGCGAUAGAGGAUAAACACACAACAUUCGACGAAGGUGUAUUAGCAAAUAAGGCGAUUUGAUCAUUCUUCUCUUCGUCACUUGACGAUGAUUCACUUGAUGUCGAAUCAUCCCACGUCUUUGCUUGCAUAGCUUUUUGUUUAUACGUCUUCUUUGAAGGACAAUCCGUCGCAAUGUGACCGUAGCCUUUGCACUUGAAGCAUUGGAUCUCUCCUUCAAAGACAUCCUUUUCCUUUGAAGACUUUGCAUGGCUUUUAUCCUUAGACUUUGAAGAUGAAGAUGAUUUAGGCAAAGAUUGUCGCUUAGAUGUUGAAGCCUUGUUCAAUCUAUUCUUGUUCCGAAAAUUUCGACGAAACUUCUUCGUGAGGAGCGCUAGUUGAUGUUCAAAAUCCGCAAUUGAUAACUCGUCGUCGGAACUCGAGUCUUCGUCCUUCUCCUUUGUAGAUUUCAAUGCAACCCCUGUGCUUUUAGAGAGAGACUUGGAAGAAGAUUGAUUAGUAGGAAAAGUCAUCUUAUACGUUUGCAAAGCUCCUACUAAUUCUUCUACUUUCAUCUCAUCCGGAUGUUUGACCGUUUCGAUUGCGGCGACCUUUGCCCGAAAACGUUCCGGAAGAGUUCGAAGAAUUUUUCUAACUAUUUUAGCAUCCGGGAUUUUCUCUCCCAAGUUAGCGCAUGUAUUGACCACGUCUUGUAGACGCGUAUAGUACUCGGUAAAGGUCUCGUUUUCGUCCAUAAAAAUUGAAUCAAACUUGCUAGUUAGCAUUUGCAAUUUUUGGACCUUUACUAAGCUUGUUCCUUCAUGCGUAACUUGUAGAGUAUCCCAAAUUUCCUUUGCCGUUUCGCAAGCCGAAACACGAGUAAACUCCGUUUGAGACAAUGCAUUAAAUAAAGCGUUUAUGCCCUUGCCGUUAAACGAAGAUGUCUCGUUUUCUUCUCUCCCCUUUGCGGAAUUUCGUGACAAACUCACACAAACUCAAAAAUUACAAUAAAUAAAACGAAGUCAAUUGGCUAUCACCAAAACAUUGAACUUCUCGCGGUAAUCAAAUACAAUCUGAAACUCAAAUUACAUUCAAAACUCCCUAAAACAAACUCUAUGACUUCAGACAACAACUUAGGAGUCUUGAAGUCUUGAAAUCCUGCAAAACAAAUCAUCAAAAUGAUUAGGCUUAAAUUUUAACCUUCUUCCCUUUUUCCUUUUGUUCUUGAAUCACCAUCCUGCGUGCUUUAAGUUUAAUGCCUGAAACAUCCAUGCUCUUCCUCCUUAAUCUAUGCUCUCCUCCCUUUUUUGUCAAAAUGCCAAAAAAGCAAGUAAUAAAGAGAAAAACAUACUUGAAAGGCAAAAGAGUAGUCCUAGUCAUAGUUACAGGCUAAAACAAAAGUAAAAACAAUGCAAAGGAAAAGAUAAUCAAGCAUAACUAAAACAUCAGUCCUACAAAAGCAAAACAUGAGAGAAUAGCAGCAAGACUAAAGUGCAAGAUUGUAAUCACAGUGCGGUGUCUCCGUCAUCAUCAAAUACUUCUCUCACAGACUCCGACUCGUCCAGCUGCGAAGCUCGAGUGGAUGCGACAUAAGUAGGAUGUCGUGAAGUAGUCCCUAGUAUAACGGCUGGGGCAAAAAUAUCGUAAAGUCUAAAUCCACUUGUCGCAUCAUCUCCUUCAUGGCCAAACUCCACUUUCUGCAAGAUUAGCUAUUUCUUCUUCAACGACGCACUUCUUGGCGAAGAGGAUUGUCGCCCAGAAUGGAAGACCCCUCCACGGCUCUGCUCGAGGUGGAGGUGCCUGGCGUG
This 5510-nucleotide long non-coding RNA is filed under the name Ananas comosus (pineapple). RNAcentral's name for it is "long non-coding RNA (ACOM_LNC044409)". Lineage: Eukaryota; Viridiplantae; Streptophyta; Magnoliopsida; Poales; Bromeliaceae. The record is from RNAcentral.